This 586-nucleotide long non-coding RNA is filed under the name Brassica rapa (field mustard). Its description in RNAcentral is "long non-coding RNA (BRAP_LNC005597)". The record is from RNAcentral. Lineage: Eukaryota; Viridiplantae; Streptophyta; Magnoliopsida; Brassicales; Brassicaceae.
AAACGGAGACAACAAAGGUUUCAAAUUUCUUUGACCUUCAUCAUAUGUUAGUGAAUAAUGCAACUAUUUAUUAAAAUAGAAUUUUUAUUUUUUUAAUUUUUUUUCAAAUUCUAUGGGUUAACAAUCCAUACGAAAAUAUUUAUUUUUUCGGUAAAUGCUCUAUAUAUUGAAGCCUAUGAUUUUUCGUGCUGUUUUAAAGUUGCUAAACACAUUAUACAUUUAUAUUAAUUUAUAUUAAACUCUAUUUCAUGGUAUAUGGGCGUCGUUUAAAUUUUUUGUUCAUUAAUUUAGUAAAACUUCAUAAUACUCCCUAAAUUGGUUGACUAACCACAAUGAAAUCGCUAUUCUCUAGAAAAACGGAGACAACAAAGGUUUCAAACCUUGUUGACCUUCAUCAUACGUUAGUGAAGGAUGCAACUAUGCAUUAAAAUAGAAUGUUUCAUUUUUUGAAUUUUUUUCACAAUCUAUGGGUUAACAACCCCUACGAAAAUAUUUAAUAUUUCGGUAAAUGCUCUAUAUACUGAAGCCUAUAAUUUUUCUUGCUAUUUUAAAUUUUCUAAACACAUUAUACAUUUGUAUUAAUUUA